AUGAAUAUGUCCAAUUAUAAUUGUGAUUAUGACAACACUAGUUUAGGAAAUAAAAGUAUGUUACUAUCUGAGCGUAGAAUAAAUACUAACGCUAGUCAUUAUAUGACAGGAUCUGAUACGACUGUUAUUAAUGCUGAUUGUAAAGAGAACAUAAAUAAAGAAUGUAAUGAAUAUUCUGAUAGAUAUGGAAACACGAAUGAACAAAAAAUUGAUAAUAAAGAAAAUAAUGUAAAUGGUGUUAUAAAAAAUAAUAAAUCAAAUAUAAACCAAACAAAUAUGUUAAACAACAUGUCUCCAAUUAAAGAUUCAAAUGAAAUGUCUUACGCGGGUUAUAAUAAUUUAUAUCAUUAUAAGUUAAAAGAUAAUACAACCAUUAAUAUUACUAGAAUGAAUAAUUCAAGUGAUGAUAACCAAAAUAAAUAUCUUGAACAAAAUAUGAAAAGUGAAAUAGCUAAUCUGAAUACAUUAAAUAAUGAUUACGAUUCUAGAUGUUUUAGAAUGAAAAACAUGAAAGAUAUACAAAAUAAAGAUCAUGGUAAUAUGAUUUAUAAAAAUGAUAUUUUUUAUAAUUGUACUAAUCAAGAUCUUAUGUAUAUAAUGCAUUAUUAUAUACGACAUGGUAAUUUUGCUUUAGUUACAAAUAAUAGUAAUUUAAUAUGUGAUAGUUAUUAUAACAAUUUGUUAUCCUUAAUAACUGUAUGUGAUGAAAAAAGUAAAGAUGAGAGUAAAGAUAAAAGUGAUAUUGUGUUAUUAAAUAAAAGUUUAUUUAAUUUUAUGAAAAUAAAAUAUAUAUCUAAUCGUUUAUUUAUGAAUAUACUUUUAUUUAUUGAAUAUAAUAUAACUAUGUAUACCUGUCUUAUUAUAUUAUCAAUUAUUACUUGUAUAGUUCAUGGAUUUGAAUUCUUAAACACUAUGCAAAUUUUAUAUAUAUAUGCAAAUAAAAAUAUUAUUUUAUACUAUAUUUCUUGUUUUCGAAAAAGUGAUUUUUGCAUUGGAGAAAAUAGGAAUAAAAAAAAAUGUUAA
Long non-coding RNA from Piliocolobus tephrosceles (Ugandan red Colobus), 1023 nucleotides. The record is from Ensembl. NCBI's taxonomy places the organism in Eukaryota, Metazoa, Chordata, Mammalia, Primates, Cercopithecidae.